Ictalurus punctatus (channel catfish) is the source of this 1496-nucleotide long non-coding RNA. The record is from Ensembl. Lineage: Eukaryota; Metazoa; Chordata; Actinopteri; Siluriformes; Ictaluridae.
CUCAGCGGUAUGUUGUUCAUACAAAUGCACUGCUUGGAAGCAAUUCAAAACAGCUUAUUCAAAGCUGCAGAGAAGACACACACACACACACACACACACACACACACACACACAUACAUAGAUGCAUUUCUGUGCAUCUGGAGGCGUGCAGAUUCGGACAAAAUUGGAAAGCGUCAAUUUAUCCCGAGCAUAAAGCCUGCACCAUUUCAGUGAAACAGCAGCAGCAGCAGGACGUCCCUCAUUUCACUAAUGGCUUUAAAUGUUUGCUAAAUUGUUUCCUUUUACACCAAAGACUAACACGAAACAGCGUCAAGCCAGUCGAGAGUGCAAUCCAACACGGCAACCUGUUAUUAGCCCUGGUGCUCAUACAAAUAAAUAAAUACAUACAUACAUACAAUCGUCGACUUCAUCAAACCCACCUCGUGAGAAACCGGUAUCCGUCACGUCACCUCACUGACGUCGCUGUGCUAUCCGGGAUACGUUUCGACUCGCUCGAUACCCGCCGUUACUUGUUAGCUCCAUAAACCUGGACAUCUGGACAGCGCUCCUAACGAAGCUCGACCACCAAACACGCCUGGAAAACACGUGUCGGUUUGAUUGAUUAUUUUUGCUGUAAUAACGACACCAUGAAAAAAAAAAAUCAGCAACAAAUAAACCACGCUAUGUCUCCUGGCUGGUUUUCAUCCUGGUCUGUUUUCUUUUGUUUUUUGGGGUUUUUUUUUGCGCAAAAGGAAACGUUUAAAAGGAUUAGUUAAAUAACAGACUUCCUGCUGUUGCUUCACCUUCAGCCAGAAAAAAAACAACACACACACACACACACACACACACACAAAAGCAGAAACACCUCGACAAAACUGAUUUAUAAGUCGUUCAGGAACAGUGUAAGCAUUUUUUCAAAUUUGUUUAUACCUUAUUAUAAAGUUACUCUUAUAAAGUGCACCGCUGUGUGAACUUCCUUCAUGAUUCGACAGCGUGAACCCGAACAGAAUUAUUAUACUGAUGUUCCUCACGCCGCUUGUCAUACUGUUGUUGUUUUUGAAGAGAUCAUUUCAAGCAGUAAUAUUUUAACGAGGACUAUUAUAUAGGAUUUUUAAUGGGACGUUUAUGACUUUAAAGUCGUGUGAGAGUAUGAAAGAGGACCCUUUAAAUAAAUGGGGGGGGGGGGGGGGGGGGGUGACAUAUUAAACAGAACAGAAAUAUUAAAAUAUCAACAAAAUAUAUCAAAUAGAACCUUUUUAAAUAAACAGAACAAAAAUAUUAAAAUAUUAGCAAAAUAUAUGAAAUAGAAGCCUUUUAAAUAGAUAGAAGAAAAUAUCACAUAUUAAAUAGAACAAAAAUAUUAAAAUAUUAAAAAAUAUAUUAAAUAGAAGCCUUUUAAAUAAAUAGAAGAAAAUAUCACAUAUUAAAUAGAACAAAAAUAUUAAAAUAUUAAAAAAUACAUUAAAUAGAAGCCUUUUAAAUAAAUAGAAGAAAAUAUCACAUAUUAAAUAGAACAA